GCGGGCGUGGCGAAACUGGUAGACGCAAGGGACUUAAAAUCCCUCGGCCUUGGCUGUACGGGUUCGACCCCCGUCGCCCGCA
This 82-nucleotide transfer RNA is filed under the name Rhizobium laguerreae. RNAcentral describes it as "tRNA-Leu". It matches the Rfam family "tRNA". Rfam says of the family: Transfer RNA (tRNA) molecules are approximately 80 nucleotides in length. Their secondary structure includes four short double-helical elements and three loops (D, anti-codon, and T loops). Further hydrogen bonds mediate the characteristic L-shaped molecular structure. tRNAs have two regions of fundamental functional importance: the anti-codon, which is responsible for specific mRNA codon recognition, and the 3' end, to which the tRNAs corresponding amino acid is attached (by aminoacyl-tRNA synthetases). tRNAs cope with the degeneracy of the genetic code in two manners: having more than one tRNA (with a specific anti-codon) for a particular amino acid; and 'wobble' base-pairing, i.e. permitting non-standard base-pairing at the 3rd anti-codon position. Lineage: Bacteria; Pseudomonadati; Pseudomonadota; Alphaproteobacteria; Hyphomicrobiales; Rhizobiaceae. RNAcentral also lists the same sequence under 1 other name. The record is from RNAcentral.